Molecule: ribosomal RNA, 471 nt
Filed under: uncultured bacterium
Lineage: Bacteria
Description: bacterial SSU rRNA
Rfam family: Bacterial small subunit ribosomal RNA
Source: RNAcentral
UAGUCCACGCCGUAAACGAUGAUAACUAAGUGUUGGGACCCAGAUCUCAGUGCUGAAGCUAACGCGAUAAGUUAUCCACCUGAGGAGUACGGUCGCAAGAUUAAAACUCAAAGGAAUAGACGGGGACCCACACAAGCAGUGGAUCACGUGGUUUAAUUCGACAAUAAACGGGGAACCUUACCCAGACUUGACAUCCUAAGAAUCUUUCAGAGAUGAGAGAGUGCCUUUAUUGGACCUUAGUGACAGGUGCUGCAUGGUUGUCGUCAGCUCGUGCCUUGAGGUGUUCGGUUAAGUCCGUUAACGAGCGCAACCCAUGUCUUUAGUUAUUAUGUCUAAAGNGACUGCCUUGGUUAACAAGGAGGAAGGUGUGGAUGACGUCAAAUCAGCAUGGCUUUUACGUCUGGGGGCUACACACAUGAUACAAUGGUAUGUACAAAGGGGGAGCAAUACAGUGAUGUGGAGCAAAUCCUU